This is a transfer RNA of Ovis aries (sheep), 72 nucleotides long. It matches the Rfam family "tRNA". Rfam says of the family: Transfer RNA (tRNA) molecules are approximately 80 nucleotides in length. NCBI's taxonomy places the organism in Eukaryota, Metazoa, Chordata, Mammalia, Artiodactyla, Bovidae. The record is from Rfam.
UCCCUGAUGGUCCAGAGGUUAGGACUCGGCACUUUCACUGUUGUGGUCUGGGUUCAGUUCCUUGUUGGGAAA